CACACUCUCUCCAAGAGAGUUCUUUGCUGUUAGUAAAAAUGAGACGUACACUAUCCUAUACUUAAUUCAAAAUUACUUGUUUAUUUGACCAAUUUAUCUUUGAGGUUGAGGGCUAUAUACAUUCAUACAUCUGAAUGUGUCUUGACUGAGUGACAUGCCUUUUAGCAGGAUUUAACCAACAUUCAGUUUGUACACAUGCCUAUUCAUCAAGUUACAUAUUGAGAGAUGGGGACCAUUGAGUGGUGAUUUGCAGCAAGUACAUGUGCAUGGACAAUGUAAAUUGAUAAAGGAAACAAUCGCAACAAUCAUUUCACUUUUCUUGGCCCACAUUCCCCACAAUAGGUAACUUUGGAUGUAAGUUUACAUAUUUGCCCAAACCUUACAUUUAUUUAAUGUGCUCCUGGAGAAUGUGUUAUUUGUUUUUAAAUGUGAGUGUCAAGACGGAGAUUCUCAUUCAAUGUCACUUCGAUUGCAUCAUUCUGUUGGCUGCCUUAUCAUUAUCAGUACUGUUGAUCAGUUUUAUAUCAGUGAAUAUAAAAACAUCUAUCUACUUCUAUCCUCUUAUGUGGGGCUGGUUUUGGUCUGAAUAAAUGACGUGUAUGGAUUGUGACCGCAAGGUCUAAUUUGUAGACCAAAUUAUCAUUAAAACAUUUGUAGGACUAAAAACAAACUUUUUUUUUUCGUUUUCAAGGACCGUUGCAAGUUCUAUUCCAAAUAGUGCAUAAGGUGAAUUGUGGGGUUGUUUGAAAUAAGUUAGUGUGAGACCAUGUUCUUCUAACGGCUUACUGAGGAAGUGCAAUGACCCUGUGUCUUUCUCUCUCGACCAUGUUCUAACAGCUUACUGAGGAAGUGCAAUGACCCUGUGUCUUUCUCUCUCGACCAUGUUCUAACAGCUUACUGAGGAAGUGCAAUGACCCUGUCUUUCUCUCUCGACCAUGUUCUAACAGCUUACUGAGGAAGUGCAAUGACCCUGUGUCUUUCUCUCUCGACCAUGUUCUAACAGCUUACUGAGGAAGUGCAAUGACCCUGUCUUUCUCUCUCGACCAUGUUCUAACAGCUUACUGAGGAAGUGCAAUGACCCUGUCUUUCUCUCUCGACCAUGUUCUAACAGCUUACUGAGGAAGUGCAAUGACCCUGUGUCUUUCUCUCUCGACCAUGUUCUAACAGCUUACUGAGGAAGUGCAAUGACCCUGUGUCUUUCUCUCUCGACCAUGUUCUAACAGCUUACUGAGGAAGUGCAAUGACCCUGUGUCUUUCUCUCUCGACCAUGUUCUAACAGCUUACUGAGGAAGUGCAAUGACCCUGUCUUUCUCUCUCGACCAUGUUCUAACAGCUUACUGAGGAAGUGCAAUGACCCUGUGUCUUUCUCUCUCGACCAUGUUCUAACAGCUUACUGAGGAAGUGCAAUGACCCUGUGUCUUUCUCUCUCGACCAUGUUCUAACAGCUUACUGAGGAAGUGCAAUGACACUGUCUUUCUCCCAACCAUGUUCUAACGGCUUAUGAUGUAAGUUGCACAUUUGGUGAGUAGUUUUUCUCCUUUUGAGUGGGAGUGUUAAAAGCUGACUAUUUGCAGGAGAAAUAUCUUCAUUGUAUUUGUAUUACCUGCUUUAGUUAAGAAAUCUUGUUUUAAUUUUAUUUGGUGUGUAAAGGGACCCUACUACUAUAGUGACCAAUGUAAAUGUAUCAAAUGGACAGUGUGUUUAAAUCAUUUGUACACACAACUGCCUAAUAAACAGCUAAAUUGCACACAUUUUCAUGUCUUCCCUUGUUUCUGUUGGCAUUGGAAAAUGUGUAAAAUAAAAAGUUAACAAUACUACAAUGCAUAGCUGCAGAUAUAAAACUGUCCCAGAUUUAAAGAGUAGCAAAAGACCUGGAA
RNAcentral lists this long non-coding RNA (1877 nucleotides) under Salmo salar (Atlantic salmon). RNAcentral describes it as "lncRNA (ENSSSAG00000088749.1)". Lineage: Eukaryota; Metazoa; Chordata; Actinopteri; Salmoniformes; Salmonidae. The record is from RNAcentral.